Molecule: ribosomal RNA, 252 nt
Filed under: uncultured Bacteroidales bacterium
Lineage: Bacteria; Pseudomonadati; Bacteroidota; Bacteroidia; Bacteroidales
Description: partial 16S ribosomal RNA
Rfam family: Bacterial small subunit ribosomal RNA
Source: RNAcentral
UACGGAGGAUGCGAGCGUUAUCCGGAUUUAUUGGGUUUAAAGGGUGCGCAGGCGGCGAGUUAAGUCAGCGGUAAAAUUUCGGGGCUCAACCCCGACAAGCCGUUGAAACUGGCUUGCUAGAGUGGGCGAGAAGUAUGCGGAAUGCGUGGUGUAGCGGUGAAAUGCAUAGAUAUCACGCAGAACUCCGAUUGCGAAGGCAGCUCACUGGACUGCAACUGACACUGAGGCUCGAAAGUGUGGGUAUCAAACAGG